GAAGAGUGGAGCGGUACGUCCGUUGCUCCGGCGAUGCUUAGUCACAUCCCUCCGGCUUGUCGAUGUCCGAUGAUGAAGAUGUCUGGCCUCGUCAGCUCAGACAGAUGGUCGGCCUUCGCCUCGUCGGUGCCCGGCCUGGUGGUGUCCGCCUCGUCGGUGUCAGACACGGUCUUGCCUUCGCCUCGUCGGUGCCCGGCAAGAUAUGGAUAG
RNAcentral lists this ribosomal RNA (210 nucleotides) under Triticum aestivum (bread wheat). RNAcentral's name for it is "partial small subunit ribosomal RNA". Lineage: Eukaryota; Viridiplantae; Streptophyta; Magnoliopsida; Poales; Poaceae. The record is from RNAcentral.